This 69-nucleotide transfer RNA is filed under the name Grandisonia sechellensis. RNAcentral's name for it is "tRNA-Glu". It matches the Rfam family "tRNA". Rfam says of the family: Transfer RNA (tRNA) molecules are approximately 80 nucleotides in length. Their secondary structure includes four short double-helical elements and three loops (D, anti-codon, and T loops). The record is from RNAcentral. Lineage: Eukaryota; Metazoa; Chordata; Amphibia; Gymnophiona; Indotyphlidae.
GUUUUUAUAGUUGAAUUACAACAAUGGUUUUUCAGAUCAUUAGUCUUGGUUGAAGUCCAAGUAAAAAUU